AUAGGUGAAGAACUCUGGAAUGAGUCUUUGCCUAAAUAGGUUCACGUUAUCCUCGUGAACUUGCCUAAGGAUGAGGCCGCGACCGAUCAGGUUGUUGGCGAGGUAAUGGCUCACCAAGCCUUUUACCGGUGCGGGCCGUGGGAGCGGGAGCCCGGAGAUGGGUACUGAGACAAGGACCCAGGCCCUACGGGGCGCAGCAGUCGCGAAACCUUUGCAAUACACNAAAGUGUGACAGGGCUAUCCCGAGUGCCAUCCGCUGAGGAAGGCUUUUACCCAGUCUAGAACGCUGGGGGAAUAAGGAGAGGGCAAGUCUGGUGUCAGCCGCCGCGGUAAUACCAGCUCUCCGAGUGGUGUGGAUGUUAUUGAGCCUAAAGCAUCCGUAGCUGGCUAGUAAGUCCUUGUUAAAUCCACCGAAUUAUCCUGGAUCCGGGGAUACUGCUUGGCUAGGGACACUUUCAGGCUAGAGACUGGGAGGAGUUGGGGGUAUUUCCAGGGGAGCGGUUAAAUGUGAUAAUCCUGGAAAGACCACCUGUGGCGAAGGCGCCCAACUAGAACAGUUCUGACGGUGAGGGAUGAAAGCUAGGGGAGCGAUCCGGAUUAGAUACCCGAGUAGUCCUAGCUGUAAACUCUGCGAGCUAGGUGUUGCAUAUUCUACGUGAAUAUGCAGUGUCGAAACGAAGGUGAUAAGCUCGCCGCCUGGGAAGUACGGUCGCAAGACUGAAACUUAA
RNAcentral lists this ribosomal RNA (728 nucleotides) under uncultured archaeon S30-1. RNAcentral describes it as "bacterial SSU rRNA". It matches the Rfam family "Archaeal small subunit ribosomal RNA", at positions 156 to 859 of the family's 1478-position model. The record is from RNAcentral.